UAAGGAAUAUUGAUCAAUGGACGCAAGUCUGAACCAGCCAUGCCGCGUGAAGGAUGAAGGUCCUCUGGAUUGUAAACUUCUUUUAUCUGGGACGAAAACGGGAUUUUUAUCUCAAUUGACGGUACCAGAGGAAUAAGCACCGGCUAACUCCGUGCCAGCAGCCGCGGUAAUACGGAGGGUGCGAGCGUUAUCCGGAUUUACUGGGUUUAAAGGGUGCGUAGGUGGGCUUAUAAGUCAGUGGUGAAAUCUCCGAGCUUAACUUGGAAGCGGCCGUUGGUACUGUAGGUCUUGGAUUAUCUGGAGGUAAGCGGAAUAUGUCAUGGGGCGGUUAAAGGCUUAGAUAUGACAUAGA
This 352-nucleotide ribosomal RNA is filed under the name uncultured bacterium. RNAcentral's name for it is "bacterial SSU rRNA". It matches the Rfam family "Bacterial small subunit ribosomal RNA", at positions 355 to 705 of the family's 1533-position model. The record is from RNAcentral.